AAUGUCAGAGUUGGUUGUAGCUGGUCUCUGGGAUUAAUUUCUUUGGAGACAAUGUGCACACCUUCUCUUUCAUCCACUCACCCCUGUGCACUUGUGAGGCAGGUUAGUUGGAGGACUUUAUUAAUUUAUUGGACUCCCUCUGUCUACUUAAUUUACACAAACUCCAAUUGAUUUUAAAACGAAUGUAAUUGAUGUAACGCAUCUAAUACU
This 210-nucleotide unclassified non-coding RNA is filed under the name Thanatephorus cucumeris. Its description in RNAcentral is "partial ITS1". Lineage: Eukaryota; Fungi; Basidiomycota; Agaricomycetes; Cantharellales; Ceratobasidiaceae. The record is from RNAcentral.